This 409-nucleotide ribosomal RNA is filed under the name bacterium. RNAcentral describes it as "partial 16S ribosomal RNA". It matches the Rfam family "Bacterial small subunit ribosomal RNA", at positions 355 to 776 of the family's 1533-position model. The record is from RNAcentral.
UGGGGAAUAUUGCACAAUGGGCGAAAGCCUGAUGCAGCGACGCCGCGUGAGGGAUGACGGCCUUCGGGUUGUAAACCUCUUUCAGUAGGGACGAAGCGCAAGUGACGGUACCUGCAGAAGAAGCACCGGCUAACUACGUGCCUGCAGCCGCGGUAAUACGUAGGGUUCGAGCGUUGUUCGGAAUUACUGGGCGUAAAGGGCUCGUAGGCGGUUUGUCACGUUGUCUGUAAAAUCCUAGGGCUUAACCCUGGACGUGCAGGCGAUACGGGCUGACUUGAGUACUACAGGGGAGGCUGGAAUGUCUGGUGUAGCGGUGGAAUGCACAGAAAUCAGGAAGAACACCGAUGGCGAAGGCAGGUCUCUGGGUAGAAACUGACGCAGAGAAGAGAAAGCAUGAGUAGCGAACAGG